Molecule: ribosomal RNA, 490 nt
Filed under: uncultured bacterium
Lineage: Bacteria
Description: partial 16S ribosomal RNA
Rfam family: Bacterial small subunit ribosomal RNA
Source: RNAcentral
GAUGAACGCUAGCGAUAGGCUUAACACAUGCAAGUCGAGGGGCAGCAUGGUCUUAGCUUGCUAAGGCUGAUGGCGACCGGCGCACGGGUGCGUAACGCGUAUGCAACUUGCCUCACAGAGGGGGAUAACCCGUCGAAAGACGGACUAAUACCGCGUACACUCUAUGUUGGGCAUCCAAUGUAGAGGAAAUGAAAUUCGCUGUGAGAUAGGCAUGCGUCCCAUUAGCUAGUUGGUGAGGUAACGGCUCACCAAGGCGACGAUGGGUAGGGGAACUGAGAGGUUGAACCCCCACACUGGUACUGAGACACGGACCAGACUCCUACGGGAGGCAGCAGUGAGGAAUAUUGGACAAUGGGCGAGAGCCUGAACCAGCCAAGUCGCGUGAAGGAUGACUGUCUUAUGGAUUGUAAACUUCUUUUAUACGGGAAUAACAAGAGUCACGUGUGGCUCCCUGCAUGUACCGUAUGAAUAAGCAUCGGCUAACUCCGUG